Molecule: ribosomal RNA, 254 nt
Filed under: uncultured bacterium
Lineage: Bacteria
Description: partial 16S ribosomal RNA
Rfam family: Bacterial small subunit ribosomal RNA
Source: RNAcentral
UACAGAGGGGGCAAGCGUUGUUCGGAAUUACUGGGCGUAAAGGGCGCGUAGGCGGCCGCCUAAGUCAGACGUGAAAUCCCUCGGCUCAACCGGGGAACUGCGUCUGAUACUGGGUGGCUUGAAUCCGGGAGAGGGAUGCGGAAUUCCAGGUGUAGCGGUGAAAUGCGUAGAUAUCUGGAGGAACACCGGUGGCGAAGGCGGCAUCCUGGACCAAUUCUGACGCUGAGUGAGCGAAAGCCAGGGGAGCAAACGGG